RNAcentral lists this transfer RNA (73 nucleotides) under Paenibacillus sp. OV219. Its description in RNAcentral is "tRNA_Phe_GAA". It matches the Rfam family "tRNA". Rfam says of the family: Transfer RNA (tRNA) molecules are approximately 80 nucleotides in length. Lineage: Bacteria; Bacillati; Bacillota; Bacilli; Caryophanales; Paenibacillaceae. The record is from RNAcentral.
GGACUCUUAGCUGAGUUGGCUCUAGCGGUGGUUUGAAACGCCACAGACGGAGGUUCGAAUCCUUCAGAGUCCA